This 214-nucleotide ribosomal RNA is filed under the name Pseudomonas aeruginosa. RNAcentral's name for it is "partial 16S ribosomal RNA". The stretch from base 41 to 214 matches the Rfam family "Bacterial small subunit ribosomal RNA", at positions 1 to 174 of the family's 1533-position model. Lineage: Bacteria; Pseudomonadati; Pseudomonadota; Gammaproteobacteria; Pseudomonadales; Pseudomonadaceae. The record is from RNAcentral.
UGAGCCAAGUUUAGGGUUUUCUCAAAACCCAAGCAGUAUUGAACUGAAGAGUUUGAUCAUGGCUCAGAUUGAACGCUGGCGGCAGGCCUAACACAUGCAAGUCGAGCGGAUGAAGGGAGCUUGCUCCUGGAUUCAGCGGCGGACGGGUGAGUAAUGCCUAGGAAUCUGCCUGGUAGUGGGGGAUAACGUCCGGAAACGGGCGCUAAUACCGCAU